This 103-nucleotide microRNA precursor is filed under the name Chlorocebus sabaeus (green monkey). RNAcentral describes it as "miRNA (ENSCSAG00000022404.1)". The record is from RNAcentral. Lineage: Eukaryota; Metazoa; Chordata; Mammalia; Primates; Cercopithecidae.
UGAGGCAGGAGAAUCACUUGAACCCAGGAAGUGGAGGUUGCAGUGAGCCAAGAUCGUGCCACUGCACUCCAGCCUGGGCGACAGAGCAAGACUCCGAAUCUCA